GAAAGACUAAGGAUUCCUCCGCUACGUCAAUCAACGGAGGGUAAGUCGGAUCCUAAGGAUAAUGCGAAAGCAGAGGCCGAUGGGAAUCAGGUUAAAAUUCCUGAACCACUAAUAGUUUCGAAGCGGGGACGGACUUUAAAGCUUCAUACGAACUGACGGAAUAGUUCGUUGAGAGGAGACUUCGGUUGAAUCGAAUGAGGGGAUAAGGUUCCAAGAAAAGCCGAUAAGUUAUGAUUAAUAGUGACCGUACCGCAAACCGACACAGGUGGGCGGGAUGAGUAUUCUAAGGCGCUUGAGAGAACUCAGGAGAAGGAACUCGGCAAAUUGAUACCGUAACUUCGGGAGAAGGUAUGCCCCAAGUAGGUGAACUCGUACAGAGGGAGCCCAAAGGGGUUGCAAAAAAUCGGUGGCUGCGACUGUUUAAUAAAAACACAGCACUCUGCAAACACGAAAGUGGACGUAUAGGGUGUGACGCCUGCCCGGUGCUGGAAGAUUAAAUGAUGGGGUGCAAGCUCUUGAUUGAAGUCCCAGUAAACGGCGGCCGUAACUAUAACGGUCCUAAGGUAGCGAAAUUCCUUGUCGGGUAAGUUCCGACCUGCACGAAUGGUGUAAUGAUGGCCAGGCUGUCUCCACCAGAGACUCAGUGAAAUUGAAAUUGCGGUGAAGAUGCCGUAUACCCGCGGCUAGACGGAAAGACCCCGUGAACCUUUACUAUAGCUUGGCACUGAACAUUGACCCUGUAUGUGUAGGAUAGGUGGGAGACUUUGAAGUUGGAACGCCAGUUCUGAUGGAGUCGUCCUUGAAAUACCACCCUUGCAUGUUUGAUGUUCUAACGUAGGCCCCUAAUCGGGGUUGCGGACAGUGUCUGGUGGGUAGUUUGACUGGGGCGGUCUCCUCCUAAAGAGUAACGGAGGAGCACGAAGGUUGGCUAAGUACGGUCGGACAUCGUACGGUUAGUGCAAAGGCAGAAGCCAGCUUAACUGCGAGACAGACACGUCGAGCAGGUACGAAAGUAGGUCUUAGUGAUCCGGUGGUUCUGUAUGGAAGGGCCAUCGCUCAACGGAUAAAAGGUACUCUGGGGAUAACAGGCUGAUACCGCCCAAGAGUUCAUAUCGACGGCGGUGUUUGGCACCUCGAUGUCGGCUCAUCUCAUCCUGGGGCUGUAGCCGGUCCCAAGGGUAUGGCUGUUCGCCAUUUAAAGAGGUACGUGAGCUGGGUUUAAAACGUCGUGAGACAGUUUGGUCCCUAUCUGCCGUGGGCGUUGGAAAUUUGAAGGGGGCUGUUCCUAGUACGAGAGGACCGGAAUGAACGAACCGCUGGUGUUCGGGUUGUCAUGCCAAUGGCACUGCCCGGUAGCUACGUUCGGAACGGAUAACCGCUGAAAGCAUCUAAGCGGGAAACUCGUUUCAAGAUGAGAUCUGCCGGGGCCUUGAGCCCCCUAAAGAGUCGUUCAAGACCAGGACGUUGAUAGGUCAGGUGUGGAAGCGCAGUAAUGCGUUAAGCUAACUGAUACUAAUUGCUCGUGCGGCUUGACC
This 1535-nucleotide ribosomal RNA is filed under the name Spumella vulgaris. RNAcentral describes it as "bacterial LSU rRNA". It matches the Rfam family "Bacterial large subunit ribosomal RNA", at positions 1339 to 2925 of the family's 2925-position model. The record is from RNAcentral. Lineage: Eukaryota; Chrysophyceae; Chromulinales; Chromulinaceae.